AACCUCCGCAAUGUGAGAAAUCGCGACGGGGGGAUCCCAAGUGCCAUUCUUAACGGGAUGGCUUUUCUUAAGUGUAAAAAGCUUUUGGAAUAAGAGCUGGGCAAGACCGGUGCCAGCCGCCGCGGUAACACCGGCAGCUCUAGUGGUAGCUGUUUUUAUUGGGCCUAAAGCGUCCGUAGCCGGUUUAAUAAGUCUCUGGUGAAAUCCUGUAGCUUAACUGUGGGAAUUGCUGGAGAUACUAUUAGACUUGAGACCGGGAGAGGUUAGAGGUACUCCCAGGGUAGAGGUGAAAUUCUGUAAUCCUGGGAGGACCGCCUGUUGCGAAGGCGUCUAACUGGAACGGUUCUGACGGUGAGGGACGAAAGUUAGGGGCGCGAACCGGAUUAGAUACCCGGGUAGUCCUAACUGUAAACGAUGCGGACUUGGUGUUGGGGUGGCUUUGAGCUGCUCCAGUGCCGAAGGGAAGCUGUUAAGUCCGCCGCCUGGGAAGUACGGUCGCAAGACUGAAACUUAAAGGAAUU
Molecule: ribosomal RNA, 521 nt
Filed under: uncultured bacterium
Lineage: Bacteria
Description: bacterial SSU rRNA
Rfam family: Archaeal small subunit ribosomal RNA
Source: RNAcentral